GCGUAGCGUAGUGGUCAUAGCGCGUGUGUGUUAUUGGUGAGGUCGUGGGUUCGAGUCCCACGCGGCGCC
This 69-nucleotide transfer RNA is filed under the name Hordeum vulgare. Its description in RNAcentral is "tRNA-OTHER". The record is from RNAcentral. Lineage: Eukaryota; Viridiplantae; Streptophyta; Magnoliopsida; Poales; Poaceae.